GACGAACGCUGGCGGCGUGCUUAACACAUGCAAGUCGAACGGAAAGGCCCUGCUUUUGUGGGGUGCUCGAGUGGCGAACGGGUGAGUAACACGUGAGUAACCUGCCCUUGACUUUGCGAUAACUUCAGGAAACUGGGGCUAAUACCGGAUAGGAGCUCCUGCUGCAUGGUGGGGGUUGGAAAGUUUCGUCGGUUGGGGAUGGACUCGCGGCUUAUCAGCUUGUUUGUGGGGUAGUGGCUUACCAAGGCUUUGACGGGUAGCCGGCCUGAGUGGGUAACCGGCCACAUUGGGACUGAGAUACGGCCCAGACUCCUACGGGAGGCAGCAGUGGAGAAUAUUGCACAAUGGGCGGAAGCCAGAUGCAGCAACGCCGCGUGCGGGAUGACGGCCUUCGGGUUGUAAACCGCUUUCGCCUGUGACGAAGCGUGAGUGACGGUAAUGAGUAAAGAAGCACCGGCUAACUACGUG
RNAcentral lists this ribosomal RNA (468 nucleotides) under uncultured bacterium. RNAcentral describes it as "partial 16S ribosomal RNA". It matches the Rfam family "Bacterial small subunit ribosomal RNA", at positions 28 to 507 of the family's 1533-position model. The record is from RNAcentral.